Molecule: ribosomal RNA, 506 nt
Filed under: uncultured Bacillus sp.
Lineage: Bacteria; Bacillati; Bacillota; Bacilli; Caryophanales; Bacillaceae
Description: bacterial SSU rRNA
Rfam family: Bacterial small subunit ribosomal RNA
Source: RNAcentral
GGGCAACCUGCCCUGUAGACUGGGAUAACUUCGGGAAACCGGAGCUAAUACCGGAUAAUCCAUUUCAUCUCAUGGUGAAAUGUUGAAAGAUGCGUUUGCAUCACUACAGGAUGGGCCCGCGGUGCAUUAGCUAGUUGGUGAGGUAACGGCUCACCAAGGCGACGAUGCGUAGCCGACCUGAGAGGGUGAUCGGCCACACUGGGACUGAGACACGGCCCAGACUCCUACGGGAGGCAGCAGUAGGGAAUCUUCCACAAUGGGCGAAAGCCUGAUGGAGCAACGCCGCGUGAGUGAAGAAGGAUUUCGGUUCGUAAAACUCUGUUGUAAGGGAAGAACAAGUACAGUAGUAACUGGCUGUACCUUGACGGUACCUUAUUAGAAAGCCACGGCUAACUACGUGCCAGCAGCCGCGGUAAUACGUAGGUGGCAAGCGUUGUCCGGAAUUAUUGGGCGUAAAGGGCUCGCAGGCGGUUUCUUAAGUCUGAUGUGAAAGCCCACGGCUCAAC